CACUGUUGUGGCACAAGUUCAGUCCCUGACCCUGCAACUUGUGUAUGCCACACACACACACAAAAAGGACAAAAUACAUGAAAUCAAUUGAAAUUUUUAUUUUUACUUCUUUUUAUAGGCAAGUGUAUAAUUAAUACCUACGCCGAUAACAUUUAUAAAACUGCUGAGAGAGAAGGUAAUUUAGUCCUGCCGCCAACUUGUGAGUGCCUCUGUGCAGGUUAAGAGCAGUUGUAUGUAGGAUGCUAGGUGGUUGGAAAAGGAGGACUGGGGCUCAGGAACUGUCACAGAAUGUUCUAGAUGACCAGGUUUGCUCUGGGGGGAUCUUCACAUUCAUUUCAGAAAUCCACUGGCUUCUAAGUUGUUGGAAUUCCUGUGGAACUGAUUUCCAUCACAAAUGAUGGUAUUAAAACCCUGAUCUGGCCUCUUUGGCUCAUUUUUUUCCCCUUCUGAUUUGGUUCCUCUUGAUGUUUACAAAACUAAAUGCAGAUCUGCUUCAGCCUGGUGAAAAAGCCCCUGUUUUGCUUCCUGACUUCCGGAAGGAUGUAGAGUAAGUCAUGACCUCCCAAAUGAAGGAGGUGCUGAAAUGCGAUGUGUGUACAGAAUCCCCAGGGCUGAGCGUGCUGGUGAAUGCCUUGAAUGAAAAGCCAUCAUCCAAGACACCACUGCAUUUAUUCAAUGUCACCUGUAUGCCAGAUAGUUGGCUAAACACUAAAGGUAUGGAGAUUGUAAAGACGAAGACACCGUCCCUGCCCCCAGGUUCCUCUGGUCUCAUAGAAAUUGUCAUAGUUCUGCACGGAGCCAAGUAUCCAAGACUAAAUUAGCCUGUAGCUCCAUUUACUUGGAGAACAUCUGUGGGUCUUUAAGCUCAGAACAUGAUGGCUGUGAUUAAACAGCUCUUUGGAGUAAACAAGUAACCAUUCCUUACCCCUGAAAAACAUCUCGGUAACUUGUUUGGAUAGAAUAAUCAUUUAUAGUUAUAGAAGUAAUAUUUCUGUCUUUCCUAUUGUGUAAUUGAGCAAACAAAAAAUGGAUUCUUAUAGAAAAGGUUAUGGUGUGUCACUAUUUUUAUCGUUUUAUGUGUAAAUGAUAGUUCAGUGCAACUGCCUCAGCUUCUUUCUGGAAGUCGAUGGAUUAUAAACUACUAAUAAACUCCAGCAUGUGUCUGUUCCAUUCUUCAUGCCUUCUUGUCAGUUUUGAAGAUGUGGAGUGAUGUUUCUGGUCAAUUCUGUUCCUGUACUUCACAUAACUAUACCCAACAUUGGAUUGUAUUUGUAAAAUCAGUGUCUUUGCAUUGGGUUUGUAUUAUUUCAGUAUUGGAUGAGUUUCUUUGUGUUUGGGGUAAAUCUCGUUUUCCAUCACUGUCAUAAUUUUUUCUUCAUGAAAAAACAAAAUUAUUUGACAGUGACUUUUAGUCACUGUUCAUUGUUGCUGGAUGAGCUCCCUUCAAAUUUUGAAACCUCCAUAGGGUCUUAUAAGCCUCUAAUGCAGUCUAGUGUAGCCACCAAGUCAUGAGUUUUGUUCUGUCUGCAGUGUGUGAAAUGCAAAGAAAAGUCUGACUUAAUUGAAUUGUUUCUGUCAACGGAAUGAAUAAGGAGAAUGUAGUGUAUGACUCAGAUAUACAUUAUUAUCAAGUGGUCUCAUUUAAUUGCAUUUGUUUUUGCAACAAGAAAUGAGCAAUAGAGUGUGGGAUGAAUGGUUCAUGCUUCUUAUUGCUGUGUUAGGUGAAAUGUGGCCAGAGGUUGCACCGUACCACAAAGUGCAGAAGGGCAAAUCAGACUCAGCACUGUUUUUCAGCAUCUGUAGUUACAUACGUAGCCAUGGCAUCAUGCCUGUAAGUUUGCAUAUUGAAGUGGCUGCUUCCCCAUCCUGAAAGAGUAAAGAUAGUCAGCAGCGUCUACCUGCAUUCAACAUGACCUUCAAAAACACCCACCUGUUUCCCAGCAGGCAUACUUCCUCCAUUCCGUGUUUCUUUCUGCCCACUGCUCUUGCUCCCUAGAGUUCAUGGCUGGGGUCCCAUCUCCUGCAGGAUGUGAAGCAGAGGAGACCCAGACCUGUUCCCACUAGGACGGCUGCACUGACCUGCCCCUUCCCUGCUCCCUGAUGUUUCAGCUUCAGGCUUGGGUCCCCAUAGUCAUUUGUGUCACUUUUUUUCCCCUUAAUGGUUAAAUAAUUGUCUCUUGGUACAUGGUAAGGGUAAGUGGAAAACUCUGAAGAGUGAAUAAUUAUGAAAUUAUGCAGAAAGCAGAAUUCCUAAGGAGUCUGGGUUUAGGUCAAUUUCCUUUUAUUGUUUAAGAUGAUAACCUUUUAAAAUACCUUUCCAGUGGGCUUGUUGGGCCUCACUUUGCAUUUUUCCGGAGUGCACUGAAGCCCCAGUGGUUCACAGCUGGAAGUUCCCUGCAGCACCCUCCAGCCAUCCCCAUUACCUUCAUCAUAAAGUCCAAACCCUUGGAAUCGGAGGAGGCAUUGCCCUCGGCCUGUUUGUCUUAUUUUCAACUGCCUGCCUUCCUAGUUCCCCUGUCUGACUGGACAGGGGAACUCUCAGUUUUUUGGCCUCUGCAGUUUUGCACAUGCUGUGCCCCAGCCAGGAGUGUUCUCUGCUUCCCCACCUCCUGCCCGUCUCUCCCCCCCCCCCCCACUAAUCAUGCAGGUUCUCUCCAUUCCUCAAAAUCUUGAUCCUGUGAGGUUUUCCACCACCACUCCUCCCAGAGCACCUUCUCCCAUCUCCGAGUCCUUCUAACACUACCUUGUUUAUUGGGUUAUCAAUCAUCUGUAGUGUGCUGAUACUUGAAAACUGAAUUGGUCUCUUUUAAUUGCAUGUGUUUGCAUAUUGUCUCCUCCAAAGGAUGAUGAGCCUCUUGCACGUAGGUGCCAUGUCCUCGGAUCUCUGUAUUUAUUCUUAGUGUGUUCUUAGUGCGUGGCACAGCGGCUGGCCCGGCCCAUGGGGGAGUCAGGAAAUGUUGAUUGAAAAAAUUACGUAACAUUUCGGAGCCUGGGAAUAUGGUGGUUCCUCUGAUAGUAACAAAGAGACUGACAUCGCGGUUGGCUGCUUUUGUGAGGACAGCUAGUUCAGCUUUUGACAUAGUUUCAAGUGAUACAUACAUGAAGUCUCCCUAGAGGCGGGGGACUGUUUAUAAAUGCAGACUUGAAAGUGAGUUCAAAACUGUGCUUUAGGCCUUAAUAGGAGAGAACUUUUCUGAAGAGAAACUGGGGGGGGGCGGGGAGGAGGAGUUCAAAGUUCCCUAGAAUUAGGGACCCGGAAAAGGAAAAAGUCGUAGAAAAGCUGCGUUAUUCACUUAAUAUCAUGGUCAGUACAGAGCACAAGGUGUCUGUCCCCUGCAGGAGGGUGUUGACUUGAACAAAUGCAAGUGGGAAGAAAACGGAAGCAAAAGGGAAAAUUAAACCUAGGUUUGCCUAAUGCCGACUUUGUGAGCUUCGAUCAUUUUUCCAAACUUCACUUUAAAUGAGGAAUUUCAACUGAAAAAGCUCUCCAUUAUUUGGAAUAAUCAUAAAAGUCAUUAGUUAUGAGAUGGCAUUAUGUCCUCCUCAUUUAAUGCAACUUUCAUAAAUAAUAUUGGAUAAAACAUUUAAGGGCUGUGACUUAAAAGUUACAGUAUUCCUGGCAGCUAUAUUAGAAUCAAUUUUAACUGUCAGGUUAAGGAGCAGAAAGAUCUCAUAAAGUAGAAAAUUUUAGGUGAAACACUGAAUUACCCAAGAGUUACCCUGUAAUCUUUAUCAUAUAUGAUUUUGAACCAGUCACAUUCUUAAGUUACCAUAACAGUAUUCUGUGGCCAGAUUUUCAAAUAAGCUAUUUGUGAUUCAGGUUCUGUGAUUGAUUCAUUAAGAAGACUCAGCAUAUAGUCAUACUUGCGGCCAAGAUUUAUCGUAGCAAAAAGACAUGAAGCUAAAUCAGGCCUUUCUAAAGGCACAGCACGCACAGGCCUGCCACGUUAACUCUUCUGCACAGGUAGAUUGAAAGGAUGAGAUUGAGACACGAAGUUGCAAGAUUCACCGAUUUGUUACUACAAAAAUGGCAGUUGUGUGCAGUUCAACCUCUAGUUCUGUCUUCUGGUUUAUUCUCCUAAGGCUGUGUGUGUAGCCCCGGGGGCUGUUUUCUACAAAGUCCUACCCAUACAGAGCUGGGGGUCGAAGCCUCAAGGUGUACUAUUUCCCAGCCCACAUGCCAUAUUUUAUUUAAAAUAGUGACAGAAAAACAUUAUUUUUAGUAGAUGUCAAGACCACCUAUCAUUCAGUGAGUUUAAACUCAGCAUGGUCCCUGAGAUUGUAGCCAUAAAUAUCCUCCAAGAGUAAGCCUUUUUACUAAAUUAAGCAUUUGUUGGACCAGUUACCUCGAUGGUUGAGAGGAGAUGCUUCAGUCAGACCAUACAGCCAAAAAUAGAAACAGAGCAGUGAGAACGCCAUGAAGCUGAGGGGAGGGUUUUGCAAAGAAUGCAAUAAAUCUUAGAGGAUGUGCGUUAUAGAGAUACAUUUGUGGCACUUCCUGAGGCUGCAGGAUUUUUACUCAAAAGUUCCAAGUGUCCGCUGCCUCCCUAUUCUGUUGCAGAGUGAUUUAGAGACAGUCCCAGACCACAAGGGUGCUUCUCUCCAUCCAUCCUCUUGUCUUUCACACUCUCACAUGUGACACUAAUGGAAUAAAGCUUUCAAGCCAGCAGGAAGAUCAAUAAAAAUUUUAUAAGGCUAGCAAAGACUGACUGAGCAUCAUAGUAUAUGGCUCAAUUUUCUUUAAAAAAAAAAA
This is a non-coding RNA of Sus scrofa (pig), 4753 nucleotides long. NCBI's taxonomy places the organism in Eukaryota, Metazoa, Chordata, Mammalia, Artiodactyla, Suidae. The record is from RefSeq and is a predicted model, not a curated record.